RNAcentral lists this ribosomal RNA (495 nucleotides) under uncultured bacterium. RNAcentral's name for it is "partial 16S ribosomal RNA". It matches the Rfam family "Bacterial small subunit ribosomal RNA", at positions 28 to 507 of the family's 1533-position model. The record is from RNAcentral.
GACGAACGCUGGCGGCGUGCCUAAUACAUGCAAGUAGAACGCUGAAGGAGGAGCUUGCUUCUCUGGAUGAGUUGCGAACGGGUGAGUAACGCGUAGGUAACCUGCCUGGUAGCGGGGGAUAACUAUUGGAAACGAUAGCUAAUACCGCAUAAGAGUAGAUGUUGCAUGACAUUUGCUUAAAAGGUGCAAUUGCAUCACUACCAGAUGGACCUGCGUUGUAUUAGCUAGUUGGUGGGGUAACGGCUCACCAAGGCGACGAUACAUAGCCGACCGGAGAGGGGGAUCGGCCACACUGGGACUGAGACACGGCCCAGACGCCUACGGGAGGCAGCAGGAGGGAAACUUCGGGAAUGGGCGGAAGUCUGACCGAGCAACGCCGAGUGAGUGAAGAAGGUUUUCGGAUCGUAAAGCUCGGUUGUAAGAGAAGAACGAGUGUGAGAGUGGAAAGUUCACACUGUGACGGUAUCUGACCAGAAAGGGACGGCUAACUACGUG